GAUUUUGACAUUUGGGAUAAUUUUAAAUAUUGUUCUCUUAUACUGUAAAUCAAGAAAUGAUUAUUAGAAUUUAGUUUGGGAUUAUCAAGGGCACUAAGAACGCUCAUACUAUCUGUGACAAUUAACCAGUUAUUAUAUUCCUGUUUCUCUAUAUAUUCCAGUGCCUUUAAAAUAGCCAUAGCUUCAGCGGUAUAUAUGCUAGCAAGUUCAGACAAUUCCUGAGCUAUAUAAGGAAGGCUAGAACUGUUACCAGAGGAAAAACAAUGAAUUAUUUUCAAGACAAGAGGAUGAUUAGUUAUAGAUAGAAGUUUAAGGAUAAACUUGGAUUUUAAGAACGAAAACCUUAAUUUCAACGGAGGGAUGUUGCAUUCCACUUGCAAUGAGAUUAUAGGGGUAGACCUCAUAGCUCCAACAACUAUGCGUAAACACUUGUUUUGAAUUUUUUCCAAUUUUUCCACCAAAUAUGAGACAUUACCAAAACAAUAAAAAGCAUAUUCAAAGUGACUUCUAGCUAUAGAUUUAUACAAAUUUAAUAGUAUUUUUGGGUCUGCUCCCCAAUAAGUACUAGCCAAAGAUCUCAAGAUAUUUACAGCUUUGGUUGCACGAUUUAUCAAGCAAUCAACAUAUUUAUUCCAUUUGAAAUUGCUCUGAAAUGUUACACCCAGAAACUUUGUGUUUUUCUCUACUGCAUUGAUUUCAAGAUUUAGUUGAUCGAAAUACAAUUUUAGUUUUGAUAAAGCAGAGUUUAAUUUGUCUUGGACUUCUAUUUUAUUGUUACCAGAGGUGUACACAACUAGAUCAUCUGCAAAUUGAAUUUGCAGAGAACCAAGAAUAGACGCUAAUGUUUCUAAAUUAACAUUAUUAAAAGCUCCAACAACAUCAAAAAACACACAACAAAGGAUUCCUCUAGAGGACAGUGCAUCAUGUAUAUCCAGAUUCAAAUGAUUCAGACUCUCCCGAGCUGAACGACCACGCCUAAAACCAAAUUGAUUAAAAGAUUGACAUGCUGAGGAAAGUUCAAGGAGUGCAUUGGAGCACUGACUACAGGAUCAACAAUUAACUUAACAAGAGUGGGCAAAUGAUAACUACCAAGAGAAUCCGAAUGUACCUUCCAAUCACAAGACAAUGCUAAUGAAGCAGACACAAUAGUUAAGUCAAGUCCAUUAGCCCUUCGAUCAUAAGAACCAACAGUAGUUGGCUGACCAUCGUUCAGAAGAACCAAAUCAUUUUCAUCUAUAGAAUCCACAAUAGAUCUACCCCGAGAAUCAACACUAGAACAACCCCAAAUGGAAUGAUGAGCAUUGAAAUCACCAGCAAUAAAAAUAGGUUUGGGAAUACUGUUUAACAAACUGUUAAAUUUAUUUUUAUCGAAGUGUGUGCUACCUGGACUAUAAAAACUAACGAAAGAAAUAAACUUUUUAUUAAUUUGUAAUUUAAUAACUAUGUUUUGUAAUGAAUCAUCAAAAUAUGAUUCAAUUUUUUUAUAGUUUAAUGUAUUUUUAAUUAAGAUAGCUACACCAUUGUGGUCAUUACCACAAUCGUUUCUCACAAUAGUGUAACCUCUCAUUGAAAAUUGUAUUUGUGGCUUAAGCCAUGUUUCGGAAAUUAAACAUACAUGUAUAUUAUUUUCAUAAAGGAAGUUUUGCAACUCUAGUUGAUUGCUUAGCAAACUUUGUGCAUUCCAUUGCAUAAUAUUUAGGACUUGAUUUGUGAAUUUUGAUUAUUUUUAUUUUUAAACUCAAAAGUUUCUUUUAUGGUAUCUGUAAUUGUUUUUGAAUUUAUAUUGGUGUUCUGGGUUUUAUUUAAAUGAAUAACUUUAAUUAUAGUUUCUGUAAUAAGAUUCAAUAUAUUUUUGUCAGACAUGAAUAAGUCAAGCAAAUUUUUUGUUUGUUCAGCCUUAUUAAGUGAUGGGAAAUUUUGAGCAUUAAAUAGAUCUGAGAAUUUAGCUUUA
Molecule: long non-coding RNA, 1951 nt
Organism: Pectinophora gossypiella (pink bollworm)
Lineage: Eukaryota; Metazoa; Arthropoda; Insecta; Lepidoptera; Gelechiidae
Exons: 5
Source: RefSeq, a predicted model, not a curated record